This 488-nucleotide ribosomal RNA is filed under the name uncultured bacterium. RNAcentral's name for it is "partial 16S ribosomal RNA". It matches the Rfam family "Bacterial small subunit ribosomal RNA", at positions 28 to 506 of the family's 1533-position model. The record is from RNAcentral.
GAUGAACGCUAGCUACAGGCUUAACACAUGCAAGUCGAGGGGCAGCAUGAACUUAGCUUGCUAAGUUUGAUGGCGACCGGCGCACGGGUGAGUAACACGUAUCCAACCUGCCGAUGACUCGGGGAUAGCCUUUCGAAAGAAAGAUUAAUACCCGAUGGCAUAGUUCUUCCGCAUGGUAGAACUAUUAAAGAAUUUCGGUCAUCGAUGGGGAUGCGUUCCAUUAGGUUGUUGGCGGGGUAACGGCCCACCAAGCCUUCGAUGGAUAGGGGUUCUGAGAGGAAGGUCCCCCACAUUGGAACUGAGACACGGUCCAAACUCCUACGGGAGGCAGCAGUGAGGAAUAUUGGUCAAUGGACGAGAGUCUGAACCAGCCAAGUAGCGUGAAGGAUGACUGCCCUAUGGGUUGUAAACUUCUUUUAUACGGGAAUAAAGUGAGGCACGUGUGCCUUUUUGUAUGUACCGUAUGAAUAAGGAUCGGCUAACUCCGU